This 1200-nucleotide ribosomal RNA is filed under the name Streptococcus thermophilus. RNAcentral's name for it is "bacterial SSU rRNA". It matches the Rfam family "Bacterial small subunit ribosomal RNA", at positions 51 to 1242 of the family's 1533-position model. Lineage: Bacteria; Bacillati; Bacillota; Bacilli; Lactobacillales; Streptococcaceae. The record is from RNAcentral.
AUACAUGCAGUAGAACGCUGAAGAGAGGAGCUUGCUCUUCUUGGAUGAGUUGCGAACGGGUGAGUAACGCGUAGGUAACCUGCCUUGUAGCGGGGGAUAACUAUUGGAAACGAUAGCUAAUACCGCAUAACAAUGGAUGACACAUGUCAUUUAUUUGAAAGGGGCAAUUGCUCCACUACAAGAUGGACCUGCGUUGUAUUAGCUAGUAGGUGAGGUAAUGGCUCACCUAGGCGACGAUACAUAGCCGACCUGAGAGGGUGAUCGGCCACACUGGGACUGAGACACGGCCCAGACUCCUACGGGAGGCAGCAGUAGGGAAUCUUCGGCAAUGGGGGCAACCCUGACCGAGCAACGCCGCGUGAGUGAAGAAGGUUUUCGGAUCGUAAAGCUCUGUUGUAAGUCAAGAACGGGUGUGAGAGUGGAAAGUUCACACUGUGACGGUAGCUUACCAGAAAGGGACGGCUAACUACGUGCCAGCAGCCGCGGUAAUACGUAGGUCCCGAGCGUUGUCCGGAUUUAUUGGGCGUAAAGCGAGCGCAGGCGGUUUGAUAAGUCUGAAGUUAAAGGCUGUGGCUCAACCAUAGUUCGCUUUGGAAACUGUCAAACUUGAGUGCAGAAGGGGAGAGUGGAAUUCCAUGUGUAGCGGUGAAAUGCGUAGAUAUAUGGAGGAACACCGGUGGCGAAAGCGGCUCUCUGGUCUGUAACUGACGCUGAGGCUCGAAAGCGUGGGGAGCGAACAGGAUUAGAUACCCUGGUAGUCCACGCCGUAAACGAUGAGUGCUAGGUGUUGGAUCCUUUCCGGGAUUCAGUGCCGCAGCUAACGCAUUAAGCACUCCGCCUGGGGAGUACGACCGCAAGGUUGAAACUCAAAGGAAUUGACGGGGGCCCGCACAAGCGGUGGAGCAUGUGGUUUAAUUCGAAGCAACGCGAAGAACCUUACCAGGUCUUGACAUCCCGAUGCUAUUUCUAGAGAUAGAAAGUUACUUCGGUACAUCGGUGACAGGUGGUGCAUGGUUGUCGUCAGCUCGUGUCGUGAGAUGUUGGGUUAAGUCCCGCAACGAGCGCAACCCCUAUGGUUAGUUGCCAUCAUUCAUUUGGGCACUCUAGCGAGACUGCCGGUAUAAACCGGAGAAAGGUGGGGAUGACGUCAAUCAUCAGCCCCUUAUGACUGGGGUACCACGUGCUACAUGGUUGGUAAAC